This 468-nucleotide ribosomal RNA is filed under the name uncultured bacterium. Its description in RNAcentral is "partial 16S ribosomal RNA". It matches the Rfam family "Bacterial small subunit ribosomal RNA", at positions 28 to 507 of the family's 1533-position model. The record is from RNAcentral.
GACGAACGCUGGCGGCGUGCUUAACACAUGCAAGUCGAACGGAAAGGCCCUGCUUUUGUGGGGUGCUCGAGUGGCGAACGGGUGAGUAACACGUGAGUAACCUGCCCUUGACUUUGGGAUAACUUCAGGAAACUGGGGCUAAUACCGGAUAGGAGCUCCUGCUGCCUGGUGGGGGUUGGAAAGUUUCGGCGGUUGGGGAUGGACUCGCGGCUUAUCAGCUUGUUGGUGGGGUAGUGGCUUACCAAGGCUUUGACGGGUAGCCGGCCUGAGAGGGUGACCGGCAACAGUGGGACUGAGAUACGGCCCAGACUCCGACGGGAGGCAGUAGUGGGGAAUAUUACACAAUGAGCGGAAGCCUGAUGCAGCAACGCCGCGUGCGGGAUAGCGGCCUUCGGGUUGUAGACCGCUUUCGCCUGUGACGAAGCGGGAGUGACGGUAAUGGGUAAAGAAGCACCGGCUAACUACGUG